UACGGAGGGUGCAAGCGUUGCUCGGAAUUAUUGGGCGUAAAGGGUAGGUAGGUGGUCUUAUUUGUCUGGGGUGAAAGCCUUGAGCUUAACUCAAGAAGUGCCCCAGAAACGGUAAGACUAGAGUCCUGGAGAGGGUCGUGGAAUUCCCGGUGUAGCGGUGAAAUGCGUAGAGAUCGGGAGGAACACCAGAGGCGAAGGCGGCGACCUGGACAGGCACUGACACUCAGCUACGAAAGCGUGGGGAGCAAACAGG
Molecule: ribosomal RNA, 253 nt
Filed under: uncultured bacterium
Lineage: Bacteria
Description: partial 16S ribosomal RNA
Rfam family: Bacterial small subunit ribosomal RNA
Source: RNAcentral